UUGGUUAAGUUAGAAAGGGCGCACGGUGGAUGCCUUGGCACUAGGAGCCGAAGAAGGACGGGACUAACACCGAUAUGCUUUGGGGAGCUGUACGUAAGCGUUGAUCCAGAGAUUUCCGAAUGGGGGAACCCACUAUCUUUAGUCGGAUAGUAUCCUUACGUGAAUACAUAGCGUGAGGAAGGCAGACCCAGGGAACUGAAACAUCUAAGUACCUGGAGGAAGAGAAAGAAAAAUCGAUUUCCUGAGUAGCGGCGAGCGAAACGGAAAGAGCCCAAACCAAGAAGCUUGCUUCUUGGGGUUGUAGGACACUCUAUACGGAGUUACAAAAGAAAGUUAUAAAUGAAGCGGUCUGGAAAGGCCCGCCAAAGACGGUAACAGCCCGGUAGUUGAAAUGGCUUUCCCUCCAGAGUGGAUCCUGAGUACGGCGGAACACGUGAAAUUCCGUCGGAAUCCGGGAGGACCAUCUCCCAAGGCUAAAUACUCCCUAGUGACCGAUAGUGAACCAGUACCGUGAGGGAAAGGUGAAAAGCACCCCGGAAGGGGAGUGAAACAGUUCCUGAAACCGUGUGCCUACAAGUAGUUAGAGCCCGUUAAUGGGUGAUAGCGUGCCUUUUGUAGAAUGAACCGGCGAGUUACGAUUUGUUGCAAGGUUAAGCGGAAAAAGCGGAGCCGUAGCGAAAGCGAGUCUGAAUAGGGCGCAUAAGUAACAGGUCGUAGACCCGAAACCAGGUGAUCUACCCAUGUCCAGGAUGAAGGUAAGGUAAUACUUACUGGAGGUCCGAACCCACGCACGUUGAAAAGUGCGGGGAUGAGGUGUGGGUAGCGGAGAAAUUCCAAUCGAACUUGGAGAUAGCUGGUUCUCUCCGAAAUAGCUUUAGGGCUAGCCUCGAGGUAAAGAGUCAUGGAGGUAGAGCACUGUUUGGACUAGGGGCCCUUCUCGGGUUACCGAAUUCAGAUAAACUCCGAAUGCCAUGUACUUAUACUCGGGAGUCAGACUGCGAGUGAUAAGAUCCGUAGUCGAAAGGGAAACAGCCCAGACCACCAGUUAAGGUCCCCAAAUAUA
RNAcentral lists this ribosomal RNA (1063 nucleotides) under Listeria monocytogenes. RNAcentral's name for it is "partial 23S ribosomal RNA". It matches the Rfam family "Bacterial large subunit ribosomal RNA", at positions 1 to 1056 of the family's 2925-position model. Lineage: Bacteria; Bacillati; Bacillota; Bacilli; Caryophanales; Listeriaceae. The record is from RNAcentral.